GACGAACGCUGGCGGCGUGCUUAACACAUGCAAGUCGAACGGAAAGGCCCUGCUUUUGUGGGGUGCUCGAGUGGCGAACGGGUGAGUAACACGUGAGUAACCUGCCCUUGACUUUGGGAUAACUUCAGGAAACUGGGGCUAAUACCGGAUAGGAGCUCCUGCUGCAUGGUGGGGGUUGGAAAGUUUCGGCGGUUGGGGAUGGACUGGCGGCUUAUCAGCUUGUUGGUGGGGUAGUGGCUUACCAAGGCUUUGACGGGUAGCCGGCCUGUGAGGGUGACCGGCCACAUUGGGACUGAGAUACGGCCCAGACUCCUACGGGAGGCAGCAGUGGGGAAUAUUGCACAAUGGGCGGAAGCCUGAUGCAGCAACGCCGCGUGCGGGAUGACGGCCUUCGGGUUGUAAACCGCUUUCGACUGUGACGAAGCGUGAGUGACGGUAAUGGGUAAAGAAGCACCGGCUAACUACGUG
This 468-nucleotide ribosomal RNA is filed under the name uncultured bacterium. RNAcentral's name for it is "partial 16S ribosomal RNA". It matches the Rfam family "Bacterial small subunit ribosomal RNA", at positions 28 to 507 of the family's 1533-position model. The record is from RNAcentral.